RNAcentral lists this ribosomal RNA (494 nucleotides) under uncultured bacterium. RNAcentral's name for it is "partial 16S ribosomal RNA". It matches the Rfam family "Bacterial small subunit ribosomal RNA", at positions 28 to 507 of the family's 1533-position model. The record is from RNAcentral.
GACGAACGCUGGCGGCGUGCUUAACACAUGCAAGUCGAACGGAAAGGCCUGCUUUCCCUUGUGGAUUGCGGGUGCUCGAGUGGCGAACGGGUGAGUAACACGUGAGUGAUCUGCCCCCAACUUGGGUAUAAGCCUGGGAAACUGGGUCUAAUUCCCGAUAGGACUGCAGGGUGGUGCCUGUGGUGGAAAACGAUUUUCUAGUGGUUGGGGAUGAGCUCGCGGCCUAUCAGCUUGUUGGUGGGGUAAUGGCCUACCAAGGCGGCGACGGGUAGCCGGCGUGAGAGGGUGGACGGCCACAUUGGGACUGAGAUCCUGCCCAGACUCCUACGGGAGGCAGCAGUGGGGAAUAUUGCACAGUGGGCGGAAGCCUGAUGCAGCGACGCCGCGUGGGGGAUGACGGCCUUCGGGUUGUAAACUCCUUUCGACCGCGAGGAAGCCACCUGGUUGGAAGGGUGGUGACGGUAGUGGUAGAAGAAGCACCGGCUAACUACGUG